Molecule: long non-coding RNA, 1156 nt
Organism: Leptonychotes weddellii (Weddell seal)
Lineage: Eukaryota; Metazoa; Chordata; Mammalia; Carnivora; Phocidae
Source: RefSeq, a predicted model, not a curated record
CAGUGGCGGUGGGGGCAUGAAACACCAUGCCAGUGAACUUCCCACUCGCCUCGGGGUCGACUUUGGCCUCGGCUGUGGCCAGCGACUACAGGGGUGAGCAUGGGAGCCUUGUGUCCGAGGUAGCAGCAGUGGUGCUGAAUGUGGUCACGAGUCCCUCCACCUUGCCAAGUAUGUCCUGGAUGACCUCGGCCAGGGAGUGGACAGCGUCAUGUGCUGUCCAGAUCCUCCUUCACGGAAGGCCUUCUUGUCUGUGCUAGGGCUGCAGUCAUCAGGCAACCCUCAGCUGUCUGCCCCUUCGGGAUGCCUUAGCUACAGAGCGCCGCCUUGCCCGAUGUCACACCCUUGCCCGGGUGCCCACAUCCAGUGACUGGUCUGCACCGAGGUACAAAGGGCUGGCCAUCUUGGUCCCAAUUCGGGGACAAACUAGCUCUAGGGGUUACAGUGGGGUUGCCACAGGCUGUUUGGGGGCCCUCGUCACAGCUAGACAUUUCCCUCUGUCCGAUCCUCAUUCCUUCUCCAUCCUUCCAUAGGCAUAGAUACCAAGAGAACUCUUUAAUAUAAGUUCUGUUCAUUACAUUCUAUUUCAGAGUCCGCUUGCCCCGGGGAAAGCAGUCUAUAGUGUUGGGCCCGGGUGCGGUAGGAGAUCACAGGUGCUGACCUGGGGUGCGGGGGCUGGAUCACCCACUGCCCGGUUGGCCGUGGUCACUGACGGGAAUCGGUGGCAGUAGGUGGAACAGAGAAACCCCUGGUUCAAAGAGAGGGGGCUUCCAGCGUUCGCAUUUGCAGCAGAGAAGACUGAUCAUGUUGCAAUUUCCUUGGAUGAUGAGGUGUUGGUCAGAGGUUGUCCCAUAUCCACCGUGGGAAACUUUGCCAGAGGCGUGACCCAGAGGUGACGCAGGUCAGUUUGGUCUCACAAAGUGGGCUGAAUGGACCUUUGUUUGUGUGGCUGGACUGGUUCCGUCUGCUCGGGGAAUUUUGAGAGCUGGUGUCCGUUUGUCAUUGAUUGUCACAGACCCUCGCUGAACUGUCCCCUCUUUAUGUUCCCUGCCCAUCAAUACAACCUACCCAAACCUGCGACCCUACUCGCCUGCAGCUUGCUUGUCCUGAAUUGCAAUCCCUCUGCUAUUCCUGAAUAAACUUACCCAUUUUGAGCUUG